This 468-nucleotide ribosomal RNA is filed under the name uncultured bacterium. Its description in RNAcentral is "partial 16S ribosomal RNA". It matches the Rfam family "Bacterial small subunit ribosomal RNA", at positions 28 to 507 of the family's 1533-position model. The record is from RNAcentral.
GACGAACGCUGGCGGCGUGCUUAACACAUGCAAGUCGAACGGAAAGGCCCUGCUUUUGUGGGGUGCUCGAGUGGCGAACGGGUGAGUAACACGUGAGUAACCUGCCCUUGACUUUGGGAUAACUUCAGGAAACUGGGGCUAAUACCGGAUAGGAGCUCCUGCUGCAUGGUGGGGGUUGGAAAGUUUCGUCGGUUGGGGAUGGACUCGCGGCUUAUCAGCUUGUUGGUGGGGUAGUGGCUUACCAAGGCUUUGACGGGUAGCCGGCCUGAGAGGGUGACCGGCCACAUUGGGACUGAGAUACGGCCCAGACUCCUACGGGAGGCAGCAGUGGGGAAUAUUGCACAAUGGGCGGAAGCCUGAUGCAGCAACGCCGCGUGCGGGAUGACGGCCUUCGGGUUGUAAACCGCUUUCGCCUGUGACGAAGCGUGAGUGACGGUAAUGGGUAAAGAAGCACCGGCUAACUACGUG